Molecule: long non-coding RNA, 507 nt
Filed under: Mytilus galloprovincialis (Mediterranean mussel)
Lineage: Eukaryota; Metazoa; Mollusca; Bivalvia; Mytilida; Mytilidae
Source: RNAcentral
AUUGAUUGUUGGUUGCUUAACGUCCAGUGGCAAAUAUUUCAUGCAUGUUCAGGAUGAGAACAAGUUAACAAUAAAAACAAUAGGUAGGUUUUGUCAUAAUAGAGGCCAUUCGGGAUGAUGAUCGGGAAAAUUUAGACUGCCAAUGGAAAAUGAUGGUAUAUUGGAUUGGGACAGAAAUUGUCCAUUGCAACAUGCCACCUACGGACCCCUCAAAGAGUUGAUGCAAGGGUUUUUAACGUGCAAAGAACGUGACACUCCCUUUACACGAGGCAUCGGAUUUAACGUCCCCAUUCUGACCGGACGUGACUGCGAACUUGAUACAUCCCGCACAGCCAAACGGACGCCCCACUUCGUUUUACUGCCGGUCGGGGGAAGACCAAGUGACCAUAUUUCGUUUCCCCAGUCACCCUUGGGGAACUUUAAAUUAGAAACAACAGAAAUCCAUAUAUGUGAUCAAACUAAUCGACAUGUAUCCUCACAACCUGACACUUUUAUACGAUCUCGCGC